UUUUUUUUUUUUUUUUUUUUGGUUUCUGCUUCUUUCCUUGGUUCCAUGGUUCCAUGUGAGUCACUUGUGGCAUUAGGUGUAGGGCGUCUAGGGUUUAGACAUUAUCUCUCUAAAAAAUUAUCCACCAUUUUUUGUCUUCUUCCUUGGUUUCACUUUUUUCUUCUCCUUCAUCUUGAACCCUCUACUCUUUUCUCAUUCUUUCCUAUCUAUUUUCUUCCCUCUUAUCUUUCUUUUCUUCUUUUUUCUUCCUUCUUUCUCCCUAUUACCAAGGGAUCUUUCUUCUCUAACAAUGUUUUGGAUAAAUUAAUUAUAACCCUCAGUGAUUUUACAUAAUGCCAAAUGACCUCUCUAAAGGUUUAAAAUAGUCAUAUAACCCUCUUAUGAUUUUAUGUAAAGUGAAAAAUAGACGGAAUGCAUAAUUAGUUAUGGCGUUUAUCCCAAACGCACUCUAAAAGUGCUUGUAAUAAAAUUUUAAUCUCCAUGAAACUCUUUUUGAUUUGUAUAAGAAUUUACUUUACCCUUUGUGAUUUCUGCAUUUAUCCAUGUAAUCCAAUCAUACUUUUAUACAAGGUAGUUAAGUCAUUGAUUGAUUCAGCAUUUAAGUAAAAUCACUAUCGGUAUUUCAAUUAACGACAUUAUGUAAGUUAUUUUUGCUCAAGUUUCUAUAUUAUAUAAAAUCAUAUGGGGUGAAGUGGACAUUUUGAAAUGUUAAAGGGAUCAUGUGGCAGAUAAAACUACAUGGGGGUUAUAUAUAAUUUACCCUAAUAUUUUAUAUGACUUUCUCUAUUCUUUGGAAUUUAUAUUCGUUAUUGUUCUUUUCAAAGCCUUCUUGAAAAUAUAAUUUCCUUGCUCAUAUAUUUUUGAGAGUAUACUUAUAUAUUCAAGAUACAUUUGGUAAAUCUGGACAUAUAAAGCUUUCAUCAUUGUGUGGAAAAUCAAUAAGCUUACAUAUUUAUAUCCAUCUCUAACCCGAAUUUUGAUUGAAUAAACUCAAUAUUCGGCUACCUCAAUUAAGGUGUGAUACCCAUUGAACACCGAUACAACAUUUCUUUUAUAGCUCUAUUCAUUAGACACCAACUAUAGGUGUAUUUUAAAAAAUCUUAAUUAUUUUUUGGUCAAAUCUUUACAAGGAGUUACAAUAGAAUUUAGGGUAAAAAACAAAAAAUUCCCAUGUGCUAAACCUAAUAUACAAAUAAGCCCCCUAUGAUUUCAAAAUAUACGACGCGACACCUCAUGUUUUGAACUAAAUUGUAACUCUAACGAAAAUUGGUAAAAUUAAUGGGACUGAUGUACUGGAAGUUAAAAGCAAAUUCUUUAUGCUUAAUUUUUAGUAAAUAUUCCUAUUGUAUCCCUUAACCCCCAAUAAAACUCCCAGCGAUGCUUGUGUAGAGAAAUCGAUUUUCUCCUUGAUUGAGAGAAAUUGAACUAGCCUUUGGGGGAAAUCAAAUUACCACCCAAUCGAAGAGAAAGGUAAAGCUUUUUCAAAGAUGAAGUCAAUCACCGAGCAGCUACUACACAACCUUGGAUAAGGUAAAAAGUUUUGAUUUUGGGUUUUGGCUAACAAAUUGUUGUUAUUAGGGUUUAAAGUAAGAAUGUUGGUAACUAAAUUGGGAUUUAUCUACUAAUGAAGGGAAACGACUGGCUAAAAAAUGUGCUCAUGUCUUCAUCUAGCUCUCGAGGGUGUAGUGGAGUUGGGGAUCUACGAUACCAAUAUAAGAUUUGUGACUGUCGAAGAAAGACGAAAGUGAAGAUUAUUGAGUCCGAAAAGCCAUUCAAAGGGAUGCUGUACUUUGUAUGUGAAAAGGAUGAUUGUAGAUUUUGGUCAUGAUGUAAUCCCAUCUAUAGAGAUAAAGCCAGCAGAGAAAACUUUUUUGGGAGGCCAACGGUUGAAGAACAUUUCCCGUGCUUGAACUCCUAUUGUAAAGUGAAGAACUUGAAUGAUAAAGUGAAGAACUUGAAAGCACUAGUUAGCUAUUGUUUAAUGGUAUCUAUUUUUUCACUUUUGCUUCUGUUGAUGAUAAUGUCUAUAAAAUAAGAUAAUGAUUUUGUUAUGAAUGAAAAUGAAGAAAUUUGGUAGUUUGUUUUGUUCAUGAAAAUGUGCACUUUAUUUUUCUGAUUUUUUGAAAAAUGUUCUACCAAAAACAAUGAAACAAAUAACUAUUAUAUACACUUCCAACCCUUAAUCAUAUUUGUGCAUUAAAAACAGUUUUGAGCAAUAAGUAUACAUAAUAACAUCUUCUGCGAUUGAGAAAUACACUUGUAGCCCUUAAUCAGAAUUCUCCAUUAAAACAGUCAAUAAGUACAUUAAAGUUUCCAACAGUUGACAACAAUUUCAAAUAAAGUAGACAAAAACAUCCCACCAAAGAAAAGCUGCCUAAAAAACUGUCACUAAUUCCUUAAAAAACUACACAAAAGGCAAUCAACAAACAUAAAGUUCAUCCUAAAAUCAACUCUAAAGUUGCUAUAUUAACUGAACUACUUCUGUCCACAUCUUCUUGCUUUCUUGGACCUUAGGUUGGAUAGAACAUCAGCAACAGACAACAGUAGGACAAAGGGGUCCUUUUGCUGCUGAAGUUGUGCCACUCAUAGGCUGCAAUUAAAAACGAAACUAUGAAUGUCCGAAUGAAUAAUACUUCAUUAAUUCACAUUUGUAGUAUAUCUAAUCCAACCUGAGAACAUGAUUGUCUAGCAGGCAUAUUUUUUGCCACACUCGCAAUUGUUGGCUGCAUAUACCGCUUCCCAGGCCUGCAGCUUGUUUUUUGAACAUGUGCAGCGUAUUCUUGAUUUGGGACUACUGGUUGCGAGGGCACCAUUAGUGAAGGAGCUGAUGAAUGAACUGCUGAACUUAAUUCAGCUACAUUAGUGUCGGGUGCCUAUGAAAAAUACGUUCAUAUUCAUGUUGAAUUAAUAUGAUUUGGGACAGCAAAUAAGAUGAAAAAUCUGGUUUAUGUUACCAUGUGGAAUUUAGAGUUGGGAUGAAUGGCAUUCUUGCAGGUCCUUGAAUUAUGUCUUGGCUAAAACAUCUCUUGCAAUGUACCACAAGACCCUUCCUGGUUGAGACUUGACCCUUUUUAGGCUCGUCGGCUGCCCUUUGUCGGAUCUUUUUGGGUUUGCCAAUCAAUCUUCGAACUGCAGGAGGAUUGGGGGUUGUUCUUCACAUCUCACCCAAUAUUUAUCACUUGGGACAGGUGUGAUAGUAUGCUCAUAUAUUCUCAAGUAAUUUUUUCUACUGUAGUAGACAUGCACAUAAUCAAACAAAGGCAAUCUAGGUGCUUCUAUUGCAGUACAUGCAUGGGUACAAGAUAACCUGUAAGCUGGAAAUAACCACAUAUGCAAGUCUUUUCAUUCAAAUCCAUCACAACAGAUUUUCUAGACCCACAGCCAAUUUCAUAUUUGUUCUUGCCAUCCCAUGUGGGAAUACACAGCCUACUAAGUUUCAGAUUCUUGUCAAUCUUCCUUGCAAUGUUAGGAUAGAUUUUUUCUUGAAAUUUUUGCAUACCAGACCUCUUCACUUGAAUCCUUUGCAUGAGUCUUCCUCGGAUCCACUCAAGCAUCCCUAUGAUAGGUAGCUCUCUGGCUUCUAAAAUAUAAUUAUUGAAUGACUCACAAAGGUUAUUGACAAGAAUAUCACAUUUGCUACUUUGUCUAAAAUGUGACCUAUUUCAUAAAACUUGUGGCAUUUUUUGCAGCCAUUCAGCUGCAUCCUUUGAAGCUUUUUCAAGGGAAUUCAUUGCUAAUUUCCAGUCUAUUUCAUUCCUAGCACUUGCAGCUGCCCCAAACAAGGCUUUCAACUCUUUUUCUUUGAACUUUUGCUUGAAAUUUUGGUACAUAUGCCUCAAGCAAAACCUGUGUUCAGAAUUUGGAAAUAACUCAUUCACUGCAUGGACCAGUCCUUUUUAUCGAUCUGAGAUGAAUGUCCAGGGUAUGUUUUCCACACCAAGUCCCAGAUCAGCCAUUAAUAGUUCCAGGAACCACUCUCAUGAGUCAUACCUCUCUACCUCUAUCACUGCUACUACUAUUGGAAUCAUGUUGUCAUUGUCAUCUCUACCAAUUGCUGACAAUAAUUGACCACCAAAUGCAUAUUUCAAAAAACACCCAUCAAGACCAAUUAUUGGUAUAGCCAUCGAGGAACCCCUGUUUGCAAGCAUGAAGGCAGUAAUACAGUCUUUCAAAUGUUCCUUGUAAACCCUCUUCUGUUGUAUCAAGCUUAAUCUUGACAGUGUUACCAGGAUUUGUCUGUCGGAUUAUAGCUGUAUAACUUCAAAGGUGGUGAUAUUGCUCCAUAUCUAUGCUAAGCAUCUCAUCUUUUCCCUUUCUCUUUGUUCUGUGUAUUUUGGCAACGAACACGUUAAUCAUUAAAUCUCUUCCAAUAUCAUUCUGAAAUUCAUUCACGGCACACUUCGGGUUACCUCUUAUCUUGUCUUGGUACUUCGCACUCAAAUACUUGGUUGUUGUAUGCUUGUUGUUGUAAUAUCUAACACAAACAUGCUGACAUUUCAAUGAUUUAAUUUGAAAAGUAGUUUUACCUUGGAUUGGUGUUGCACGAAUCCUCCAAGAACAGCCCUUUGCACACUUGGCAAUAAUCUUUUUUGAGUAAUUUUUUACCCAUUCAACCUCAUAUCUCUUUCUUACCAACCAUUCGAACAACACAUAUCUAAAAACUAUGAAAUUGAAAAACUUCUGCCCAUCCUUCAAUUCAAAAUGUGACUUUAGAAACCCCAUUUCAGGGUUAAAGUCAAGGCAUUCUUUAUGGCCUUCAUAAUCAUAUCCGCAAUUGUCCUGCAACUCUUCAUCAGAAACUACUGGUUCUUGCCAAUCCUCUUCUGGUGUAUGUGGUGCUCCUUCUUCUGUUGAUUUUUCUUCAGCAUUUUUACUGUUCACUGCUUCAGCUUGUAAUGGGAUCUGAGAUGGGUGUUGAUCAGUAGCUUGAGAUAGAGUCUCAAAUGAAAUCUGAAAUGAGAUAUGAGGUGAAAUUUCUCCAAUAUUGUCUAGCCCUACAGACUGUUUCUUACUUUUGCUAGACUUUUUUGCCUUAUUAGUUUCACUUUUGGCAGGGCUUUUGAUAGCUACCUUUGCAGGAAAAGAGAACACAUAAUAAGGCUUAAAAUAGGUGGAAUGUAAUAUGGACCCGCCUUCUGGUUUGUUGCAUUUAUCCACAUCUUUUUUAGUUGCAAAAAUGUCCUCAUCCUCUUUUGUUUCCAACCCCUUUUUCAGCCAUUCAGGCUCAUCAUCAUCAGUAUAAUUUGUCUUCUUUGGUUGCAAUUACUAACCCCAUCUUCUUUUUUUUUUCUAAAGUCUCUAUGUUAUGUACCUCAUCAUCCCCGCUGUCUAUUUUGCUGUUAUGUACCCCAUCUGCACAUUUAUUUGAUAUUGAUGCAUCUAUUGUCGAAUUUGGCUCCAACACAUUGUGCCUACCAUAUUCUAGUGGUUUUUCAAAAGAAUUAUCCCCAUUGCAAGCAUAUAUUAUCCUUGUUGUCAAACCCCAAUAUGCUUUAUUCAUCAAUUUAACAUCAUUAUUGUCCCUAAUUGGAUGCAGGUCACCAUCUAAGUCUACUUGUGGAGCACAAAUCAGAAAGUCACUCUAGUUGCAUUCUCAUCCACUUUUUUAAACACCCUGCAAAGGCUAACUAUGGGGAUCUAGUUUUCAAGUCUAUUUUUAAAGAUAGCCAUACGGGUUCCUAUGUAGUGAAGGACAGGAUAUUCUCCAAAUUUUUCAUCAAAAUACAUAUGUAUGUUUACUUCUUCCUCUAACUUGUCUGUUUUUGUUGAAUAUUUCAAGGAAUAUAAUAAAUAUGCUUUAGUCUCUCGACUACUAUGUCUCCAUCAUUGAUAUACAUGAAACUAAAUAAACAGAAAAGCACAAGCACAGCCAAUUUUAAUAGCAUUCUGGACCACUAAACCAGAUAAGACAGUGACAAGUAGAAGUGGCAAAAUGGAUAUAUGGUUGAUAAAUGGUUUUAGUUAAAUGGAUAGUGGAUCAAAUUGAUCCAAUCCAAUUAAAACCAUUUAAUAAAUGGAUCUAAAUGGAUGUCAUUUAAGUGGAUAGUGUAAACCAUGAUCCAUCCAUUUAUCCAUUUACUCUCCCAAAUCCUAAAUUUAAGAUCCAAAUAUUUUUUUCCAAAAAAUACAGAUCCCCAAAAUUCUAUCCUUAAAUCACCUAAAACCUUUUGAUAAUAACAAAUGCUUGUACUACUACUCUAUUUCAAUUCUUCAUAAAAUUAGUUUAGUUCCAAGAAAAUUUAACUGCUGUGGUCAAUUUAACCUUUCGUCAUUACUUUAAAUAUCAUUUUGUAAAGUAAUGAACAAUUAAGAACUUGACUAUAUUUUUAUAACUUUUGAAUGAAUUAAAUACGGUUUUAUAGUGAAAAGAAGUUUACGUUUCCAAUUUUUUGCACUCCUGUUCAAGAGUGAUGUCUUGAAUAAAAGUGGAGUUCUAAUAAGAAAUCUUAUGUUAUUUAACAAGUAAAAUAUUUUCAUUACAUGUGCACGUAAUACCUAAAAAUGUAUAAAACUCCUUAUUAUACCAUUGAUAUACAAGCUACCUUAUAUUACUUAGUAAAUUAGGUGUCUUUUUUUUUGGAUAGUUGGGUUGGGUGAUAAGGGGAGAGGAAUUGGAAGUAUGAGGAUUUGGAAAAAAAAAAGGUGUCAUUUACAUAUCUUAACCAAUGUUGUGGGGACACUCGUUAGAAAAUUUUUUUUUAUAAAUAAAAGAAUUAAAAAAAUAAAAAUUAUUUUGACACUGCAUGAUGCAUUCUCGCUUUUUCUUUACUUAAGAAUACAAAUGUUUGCAAUCAUUACUACAUGAGAGUUUAAUUAAAAAAAACAAGAGUAGAGACUAAAUUAUAAUUUUGAAAAGGAUGGAAAAAGUCUAGGAACUGGAAGCAAAUAAAAUGCAAUUAAUGUUAUUGACAACUUGGCAUGUGAGAAAGUUAUGAAGGAAAGAAUAGGUGGUCCCACAAAAUUAAUUUGACAUAUGAGGAAGUUAUGAAGAAAAGAAUAGAUAGUCCCACAAGAUUUUAUCUCACAUUUUUAUAAAUGUGUUUUCUAUUUUUUAAGUUAAAUGGAUGUAUAUGGAUAAGAUGGAUAAUCCAUUUAAAUCCACCAACAUAAUUGGAUUUAAAUGGUUAUCCAUUUAAAACCAUUGAAUUUAUAUGGAUAAUCCAAAUCCAUUUAAGGUUGGUUUAUAUGGAUGGAUUGGUGGAUAUGAAUCCAUUUUGCCACUUCUAGUGACAAGUAUAGAAAUUGAUAGUUUUACUCACAAUUCUUUGUUAAAUAUCUAAUUGUAACAAGUAAUUGAGUCGUACUCAAACACACAAACAAAUUGUAACAGCCCCACCUUCCCCUAAGGCGAACCAAAGGGGUUAGCGGACUGCCUGCCCAACUCUCGCCAGGACUAACGGAUCAGUUUACGUCGAUCUAAUACGUUCCGAAACUUACCAGUGCGCGCAACCAAGUCAAAAUCACAAAAUAAAAAAAAAUGAAGAAAAGUCGAAACCGAUGAUGAACAGUACCGGCCACGUCCAACUCCGGAUACUAGGCCGAGAGUAGCCAAACCUUUUUCUUUUGCCGUUUGAAAUACGAGUUGAUUCGAAAUCCAACCAAAUAUCAUCCAAACAUACAUACAUUGAAAUGUAACAUUUACAAGCCAAAGCGGCAUAUGAAAACGAUUCAUCAUGGAUAUACAUGUUCGGUUUGCCAAUCGAAAGAGAAUGAACCCAAUGCACAUUAGGGUCUCAUUCAAAGAGCUAUUCAAAAGACAUUUACAUGAGCUCAACUUGACAACCAACAAGUAUAACCUUUUCAAAAGUGGUCAUUUUCCUGUAAGGAAAACAAAUGGAACGGAAUGAGUUUAAACCCAGUGAGUUACUACCACAUAAGCAACAAAAAUCACAUAAGCAUAAUCUUUCAUUUCAAGUACACAAUUAAGAAGUAAAACAAGUCGGUAAAAGGAUACGGACGGCUCUCAAGAGCCCAUUUCCACGCUUACAUUCUUGAUCCAAUCUCACUGACUCUCCGUCAACGUUUAAGAGUACCAACCGUAGAACCCACUUCACUCCCAUCCCUUCCACCAAACAUACCCCAACCGGGCCCGCAUUCCAAUCAGUAGCUUUUGGUAAUACUCGAAUUUACCAGAAUCAAGAGUCUCAUUACUACAAGAUUCCCCAAUACAGUCCCCGUGGCAUGUCAAUUUUGUAACAUCCCGAAUAUUAGGAGGUUGUUUGUGAAGAAAAUAUUAAAAUAUAUUUCUUCGGGUUUGAUUUAAAACUUUAUUUGUUUUAAAAGACUAGAGACCCUAAUAUUUUAGUCAAAAACCCUAGUUUACUUGUGACUAACCGGUUUUCUUAAAUCUCUCACAUUUUAAUUGAAACCCUAAUUUUAAUCACUGGAAUUGGAAAAUUCCUCGCGUUUUCUUAAAAAUUUCCUUUUAUUUGGAAAUUAUUAUUUAUUAAAGCCCUACUAUCCAUUUAUUCCAUAAUAAGUGCAAAUGAGUUUAGAAAGUAGGGUUUCACUCUUCGUUUUCAAGAUUGGGGCAAAUUAGGAUUUUCGCGAUUUUCCGCCGGAUGAAUUUUCGGUACAGAGUAAGAAUUAAUUUGGGGAUUAAAAGUGACUUUUAAGUGAGAAAUAAUAUGUGAUUAGUGGCAAUGAGAUAAGGUUAGUAAAUGAGAAGUAAAAACCCUAGUACGUGAGUUUUAAGAAAAACGGCGCGAAUCGGCGGGACCCGCGUACUACCGGUUGAACGCACCACUUGACCACCACUUUCUUACCAUACAAGCUUAUUGAUAUUUGAGCAAAAUAUCUUCUCAAUUUCCAGCUAGCUUGACCGAAAUUUGUGGCCUAAAAAUGUAAGGGAAGAGAGAGAAAAAUGCUUGGCUAUGGUGGUGACACUUGUCCAACUCUAUUGGGUCCUUGUUUGAUAUUUUCUUUCUUCCUUUCUUAUCUUUCCUUGGACUGCAUUUCUUCUUCAUUUCUGCUUGUCUUGGCCGAGAGUGAGAGGGAGAGAAACCAAGAGAAAGAAACUCCAACCCAUCUUGAGUUUGAUCCAUUUAAGUGAGCAACAAGAAAACUAAACCGAUUGAUUGUAAGUUUGAAAGCUUGGGAAGCUAAGGGAACCAAAAAUUUCAAGAAAUAGUGGAGGAUCACUCUUGCAAGGCUUUGUCUUAAGGUAUAUUGGCUGAUCACCCUUUUCUUCUCCAUUAAUCAUAAUCAAGUGGUUGUUAAGCUUAGAAUUGAGCUAGUGAUACCUAUUUUCAAGUUGUUGUGAUGAUUUUUGGAUGAUAUAAGUGAGUUAGGAUUUGAUAAAUUUCUGCCCAAACUUGCUAUAUGGUUACUAUAUGUUGUAUAUAAGGUUAUACAAGGGGCUUUGGUAGUGAUUGGAACAAGGAAUUGAAGAAAGUUCAAUUGAAAACCAAAAUUUCCAGAUUUCUGGAAUUUCAUGUUUCACUUCUGUCCGUUUUUGUUGCACCAUGUUAGAGGCCGAAUUGACCUUUGGUCAAAGAAGGAAAGUUGUAGAAAAUGGUAUUUUAUAAGUACCUGUAAAAUUUCAGCUCAAUCGGAGUAACGUAGGACGUGAAAAGUCCAAAAUACCCUUACUGUUUUAAGUAUUUCCCAAGCAGUCCGUGUGAGCAGUUAAGUCCAGUUUAUCACGUUUUUCGACUAGGAUCCAUUCUGAUUUAGCUUUUUACCAAAACAUGAAAGUUGUAUCAUUCUGAAUUAGCUUUCAAAUGCCUCUAAGAACACCUGAUUCGGACUUGUGUACUCUGAGUUAUGUCCAUUACAGUGUUCUGCGUUUAAACAGCCGACGAAUUGGUUUUGGGUUUAGUAAUUCGAGAAUUUGACCAAGUUACAUUAGAAACUGGACUAAGUGACCUAUAUGAACAUUGUAGCCCUGAGUCUUAGCUUCGAAACGGUAUAGGUUGCGUCUUAAUCCGAUAAGCGUAGCCUCGGAUAAGUUAUUUCCGCUUUCAUACAUCAAAUCUGUCUUUUGCUAAAUUGAAUUUCUGCACUUGUUAUUACUGUAUUUCUUAUUCUUAUGAUAUUGUGAGCCUAUGGAACGGCUCUUGACUUGAAUUGCUUAUGUGUGAUGUUGGGUUGUGGUUGAGGAAAAAUAAUGAAGCCAAAAUGGUUGAAAAAUUAGGUAAACACAAAAGGGCGUGCUGCCCAAAUUUUCGCCGAGAGCUAGGUUUCUAUUUGAACUUGUAUACUUUUGUUUGGCCAAUACCAUGACCGGUUUUCCAUUUUACAACAUGAUUUUUCAUCCUUGGGUUCAAACAACCCUCUUCUUACUUGAAAGUCAUCUUUACACGUUUUACUCUUAAUUAGUCGGGUUUCUUUGUUUCCCUUAAAUGUUUUGCUCGAUAAACUAUAAUAAUGUUCUCUUGCUCAACCUUAGGUUUCAUUGGUGAUUAAGGGUAAUAUCCGAAAGGAUAUUUUGCACGAUAUUUUGCAUUUCUAGGUGAGUGACCUCAAACUACUUCUAAAGUUAUUUAUGAACCGUUUCUUACAUUAUUUACUUUUGAACUGUUUCCAAAGUCACUUUUGAAAUGUUUUCUUGCAUAUCAUGUGUGCUGGCAUUUGAGUGUGCCUUGUUUGCUAUAUUUCUUGACUUCAUGACUUGUAUUUUGGUUGAUAACGUGUUAAGUGCUUUCGAUGAUUAUUAAAACGAGUUUUCUAGGCGAGUGUGUACUUUAUCACACUCGACCUAAAUAGCUGUGCAAUUUUCAAGGAUUUAAUUAUUGAAAUGCUAGUUGCGCAUGAUGUAAGCCUUUUGGGCUGAACUGGCCAUUGCCCUUGUUACCGGUCGUCUUGAGCCAGAAGCGGACUCGGUCAGGCGAUUAGGAACUUGGGUGAACGUUUGGUAUACUCGAGUAUUACCUAUGUAGGUUGGUGGAGCCUGGCCAAAAGCCAGGGACGGGGUGAAUGAAAUGAAGUAAGUGACCAAAUGAGCGAGAAAAUGUCAGGAGAAUGAAUGUAUCCUUUCAUGAAUGUUACUAUCGCUUUCCAUUGUAAAUGUUUCUUGAAUUAUUGAUAAUCCAUAUUUACUGUUUUGCAAAUGAUGUAGUUGUUUCCGGAUUUAUCAUUCAAUUUAUGACUUCAUUGCUAUAUGACAUCAUUGAAAUGAACUAUUGUGAAACCGAUUUGAUUAAUGAUUUUCUGGUUACUCGCUGAGCUUUUAGCUCACCCCAAAAACUAUUUUAUUCCCCUCCACAGGGCUCGUGGCGAAGGAAGGACUUGUAGUACUUGUGCACUUGUAUGGAUGGCCUAAACUUUGUACAAUUUUGGAUUUGGAAUUAUUUUAUGUAUAUUUGGGAUUAGUUUCCGCUGCAUUUGUGACAUGUAAUUAUUGGAGACUUGAAUGUAUAUUUGUGGACCAUGUGAUGUAUAUUUGAGAUUUUUAUUGUAAUAUAUUUGAGGAUUAUAGUGAUCGACUGAGUCCCGGCGAGAGUUGGGCAGGCGGCCCGCCGAACCCUGGGGUACGCCCUAGGGGGAGGUGGGGUAGUCAGAAAUUUUCACGACCAAACCCUCGCCGGCUCGAUUCAGUUGACUACCAACGGAAUUGAGCUCAGUAGUACAGUAAGGCCGUUGGAUACUCGUCCAAACGAUGCCAAAUCAGUUUUUCAUGAAGUGAAUUCAAUAUCUCAUAUAGCAAGUGCAGUAUAUCAGUGAAACAGUAAACAGUCAUUAACGGUAUCACCAGAGGUGAGGGCGGUCAAGUACACCCUCACCUCAAUCAAUUCCAAUAGCCAAAUAAGCCUUCAAGGCAUCAAAAUCACAUAUAGCAAAGCCACAUUGUAACAUUCAAGUGAGUAGUAUACUCACUUAUCAAUUAAUUGUUGUUUCAUGCACUUCCGUAAAGAGAAUGUCGUGAACCACCGUCACGCCCUAGAACACGUAAACAAGUACAAUGAGACUCGAUAACGAGUCAUAAAACAAUGCCAAUCACAACCCCAAUAGGGUUUCAUAUGCAUAUACAAGUAUCAUAGGUAACCAGAAAAUCCGGAAAUGCAAUUAACUUUGGCCCUAAAAAAAAACAGUUUUUGUCCUCAUUUUGCGGUAAUGGUACCAAUUUCACUACGAUUAUCGGAUGAGGGUGCAAGACCCACCAUCUCGAAGCUAAAAGAUAGGGCUACAACAUUACAGAAGGUCACUCAACCCAGUUUUGAGUGCAAAUAGGUCAAAAAUGCAAGAUACUAUAUCAAAAACGUAAAACAGAUUCACCAAAACGCAUUCUAGCGGAAACAUCAUAACUCAGGCUCUACAAGUCCAAUUUCAGAAAUUCCAAAACCAGCUGAAAGCUAAGGAAUAGGGCUACAAUAAUGUAGAAGAUCACUCAGUCCAAUUCCUAGCAUAACUAGGUCAAAUAUGCAAGAAACUAAACUAGAACCGCAAUAACAGGUUUGCAAACUACAUUCUGCUGUAAUCAGUACAACUCAGUCUAUACAGGUCCAAAUUCCAAAAUUCCAAAGGCAUAUGGUAGCUAGGACAUCAAGCUACAUUUCAUCAGAAGACCUCAAAGGCCAAAUCGUGCAUUUUCAUGGUCGAAAAUGGAAGACUACACGAAAACAGAAAUCUAGGCGCGAAAUAGGUUUCGAAAACAGUCAAGGGUAUUUCGGUCCUUUCACAUGGUACAGUGGUCGGAUCAAGCUGGAAAUUUACAGGCAACUAGUUUAUAGCCUUGGCUACAACUUUCAUGUUUUGGCCAAAAUCUAAUUCGGUGAGGAUCAGGGUGAAAAGUCAUGGUCAAAUUGAGUGAAAAGGCAACCCUGUUCGCAGCACCCCUUCCUAGACCAGUCUCGAUAUUUUUGACUUAUCUCAUUCUACACUACUCCGAUUGACCUGAAAUUUUACAGGAACCUUUAAAACAUCAAUACCUACAACUUUUAUGUUUUAAGCCAAGGCCAAUUCGGUCUCUAACCAUGAGAUACAAAAUCGGACAGAAUUGGGGAUAUAAAACCCUAACUUUCUCAAAUUCCUUCCAAACCAGAAAUUGGUUACAAUUAUCUAUCCUAUACACCUACUAGAGUCAUUAAACAUCAGUUCCCAUCAUCAAGGAUAGCCACAACAUUACAUUCAUAUUAAACCAGAAAAUUCAUCAAUAAAUUAAAAAUUUCAUCAAUUCAUCCAAAACCAAGAAAUAAACCACAUAUUUCAUCACUUUAGCUCCCACUUGGCACAAAUUAAGCUUCCUUAAGUGUAGGAGAAAGUUCAAACACCACUCACCUAGUAAACAAGAGAGGAAGAGUUGUUGGACACCUUAGCUUCCUUAAACACUUCACCAAAUCACUUACUAACACCAAAUGGAGGGGUUUUAUGGAGUAGAAACAAGAUCAAGCAAUUGUUUUGGUGGAUUUGAGCUAGAUGGUAGACAAAACUUUGAAGAGUUCUCUUCCUUCUUAUCUCAAGGUGGCCGGCCAAGAGAGAGAUAAAAAUGGUGAUUUUUUGUUAGUUUUUGGUUUAUUUAAUCAAAGGGUAAAACAUGGAAUAGUAGUCAAAAGUUAUAUCCAAUCUCAUGGUGACACUUGUCACCUCCAUUAAUGCAAGUCUAUCCUUUUGUUUUCUCUCACAUCAAUCACCUCUCAUCCUCUACUUAUCUCUUAACACCCGAUAAAUUUCAACCAGUAUCCAAAACUUAACCUAAUUGGCCGAAUUUUUUCGAACUUUUCGCACUAGUGGGUCCCACGUCCGAUAUAUAUCCUUAAUUUUUCAAAAACUCUCCAAUACUAGAAAAAUCAUCUAAAAACAUAAUUACUCACAAAAUUCACCAGGAAAAUUGUUCCUAAGCAGAAAACAUACCAUUAAAGGGGAUAAACCCUAGGAAAAUUAUUAAGAGAAAUUUACGGGUUCUCACACAAAUCCUAUCAAAAAUGGACAUUUCAGAAAUUAUUUGCAUGACUCCUAGUCAACACCCAAAUAUCAAUAAAAAUCUCGACUUUAAAUCCAAAGUACCAGUCCCAAAACUCACAAAAUUAGGAUUUUUCUAAUGUCAACAUCCAAAUAUUGUAUAUUAUUAAAGUAAAUAGCAUUAUCAGCCCUAAGUAUUGAAAUCAAUUUAGUAAAAAUCUGAGAUGGAUAACCCUAAACCGUAACUAAUUACAACAUACAUGAACUAAUUUUAACUAAUUAUAACAUGAACGAAGUAUAACAUACAUACCCAUUUGCCUUCGAUUUUAUGGAAGAAAUCUUCAUCUCUUUCGCUCUUCUUACUUGAUUCAGAUUGACUUGACUUUGGCUGCUCUCUCUCUCUCUCUCUCUCUCUCUCUCUCUCUCUUCAUAGGGUUUGAACAAAACAAAUGAUUCUGUUCAAUUGCCUUUUGGUUAUUAUAUAAGGGCAUUUUGGUCCUUUCAUCAAUUCCCGUUAAUUUUUUCGAUUUCCGUCAAGAUUACAAUUUAAUUCAAAACAUGAGAUAUCACGUUGUAUAUUUUGAAACCAUAGGGGGUUUAUGUGACGACCCCACCUCCCCCUAAGGCGUACCAAAGGGUUCGGCGGACCGCCUGCCCAGCUCUCGCCAGGACUCACUCACUAUUUUAAUUGAGUCACGUACACACAUCCAUGAACCAUAAAUAACAUUCCCAAUUCAAGCUUAUAAUUUACAUUAAUAGAAAUCGAGGUACAAAGUCUCAACACACCCAACUAGUUCAAUACGUAUACAAUCCAAGUACAACAUGUUCCAUUCGAGGAAUAGCGCGAGUACAAGACCAAAAAGUCAAAAGUCAAAACAAAAGGCUACGCUAGUCUUUUACAAGUCUCACGCGCCACUCGUACCCCUGAAAGGAAAACAAAUGGAGUGGAAUGAGCUAAAAGCCCAGUGAGGUUCCAAAUAGCAAAUUGACCAUUAUUUAGAAGUACAAGUUUUCGGUAUAGCAAAGUAACAAGCAUGAAGAGUUCAUAAAUGUGAGCAAUAACACGUCAAGUAGCAAUCUUAAAAUGAGCGAGUGUAGAAGUUUUUCAAAAGCAACAAUAAUCCCAUAAACAAUAUUCACUCCAAAGUAUAAGGAUACGGAUGACUCUCAGGAGCCAAAUUCCCGUUGCAUUACCAGAAGCUUGAUCACGUAGUAGUUGACACUCCGUCAACUUUCAAGUAAGUAACCAAUCCAGUAGAACACCACUUACACGACUCUCCGUCCACCGUUCAAACCCCCUACUGGGCCCAAAAUCCUCAAUAAACACGGGUGGUAAUACUCGAGUAUACCGAUUAGUCGAGAAGAUAUCACUCCACUCGACAAUACAAGAGACCCAGGGUUCGUUACCCAAUCGACCAAGCCCUUGCCGACUCGACUAGAGUAACUCGCCACAGGGUUUCUGGAAUUUCAGGAAGUGCGCGCAUCAUAAUCAAGUAUAUCAAGUCAAUUGCAACAAUAAACAAGUAUAUCACGUAAGGGCAAGUGCGAUAAAGUACACUGUUGCCCUUACAAUUCACGUAUAUAACAUGUAAUCAGAUUGGUCACGUAUCAAGUUCAAGUAUCAAAUUCAAUUCGGUAUUUGAAAGCACUCAUCAAAAGAUAUAGUGCCUUUACUGGUCACUUUCAGGUUAUACUCCGGGUUCGGAGUCCAAAUCUGCGAUAAAACUCAGUUUGAGAACUUUGAAACACGACUUAGAUUCGAAACUUAAACGUUUCGUUCAAUAAAAUUCAAGAAAUUGGAAUUCACUUGGAUGGUAGUGUGAAACACUUGCUCACUUUUUAAACGGUAAAACUUUGUAACUUUUAUACUUGAAAUCGUCAUGCGAGUGGAAAAUACAAGGAAAACAUACUUCGAGCAAUCAUGAUUGCAUUUCUCAAGGGUACAAGUUCGACCAAGUCCUUACUUAUAUACCUCGGAACAAGAAGACUCAAGUACCCUAGAUGGUUCAAGCAGUAAUCACUCUUAACCCUUACUCAAGUUGCAAGUAGUUCUCUAGUCUUCGAGCGUAAAUUUGGGCAGCAUGCCCCUUGUGUUUACCUAAUUUUCCAGCCAUUUAGGCUUCAUUAUUUUUCUUCAACAACAACCCAACAUCAUACAUAUCAGCAAUUUAUGUCAAGAGCCGUUCCAUAGGCUCACAAUAUCAUAAUAACAAGAAUCGCAUUAAGGACAAGUGCAGAAAUUCAAUUUAGCACAAGACAGAUUUGACGUACAAAUGCGGAAAUAAUAUAUCCGAGGCUACGCUUAUCGGAUUGAGGCAUAACUUAUGCCGUUUCGAAGCUAAGACAUAGAGCUACAAUGUUCAUGAAGGUCACUUUGUCCAGUUUCUAAUUUAACUUGGUCAAAUUCUCAAAUUACUAAACCAGAAACCAAUUCGUCGGCUGUUUAAACGCAUUACGCUGUAACGGACAUAACUCAGUGUACAAAAGUCCAAUUCAGGUGUUCUUAGAGGCAUUUUAAAGCUACUUCAGAACACUGCAACUUUCAUGUUUUGGCCCAGGGCUAAAUCAGUACGACACCUAGUCAAAAAACGUGAUAAACUGGACUUAACUGAUGAAACGGACUGCUGGGAAAUACUUAGAACAGUAAAGGUAUUUUGGACUUUUCACAUCUUACGUUGCUCCGAUUGAGCUGAAAUUUUGUAGGCACCUAUAAAAUGCCAUUCUCUACAACUUUUAUUCUUUGACCUAAGGCCAAAACAGCCUCUAACAUACAGAUAAAAAUUCGGACAGAAUGUUGAGACAAUUUUCCAGAUUUUGGAAAUUUUGAGAUUCUACUGAAUCUUUCCUUAAUUUCUUGGUCCAAUCACUACCAAAACACCAUAUAACACCUCAAUUGCAACAUAUAAACAUCAUACAAUCAUUUGGGCAGAAUUUUCCCCAAACCCUAGUCAUCAAAUAAGAAAGGGGAAAACUUCUAAAACAUGCUAAUCAUCCAUGAUUUCACCAUAAUCUCAAGUUGUUAAGCUUAAUUUAACAAGAUUGAAAGUAAAACUUGGAGAGAUAAGUUCUCUUACCUUGGUUAGAGGUCACUAAGAGUAGCCCAAGCUUCCUUCUUCCAAAAACUUACCACAAAUCACCACUUAAUCACUCAAGAACAAGUUUAAUCGGUUUACUUUGUUUAUUUUCUCACUAAGUUGUUGGAUUUGAAGAUGAAAUGAAGAAAUUUCUCUUGGUGUUUUCUUCCCUCUCCCUCACGGCUCCUUGGCAGAAAUAUCAAGAGAAAUGAAGCUAAGUUUGUCUUAUAAUAAAACCAAAAGAUUAGAACUAAUGGUGUCCACAAAUUGCCCAACACUUGGCCUAAUCUUGGCCACUCAUUUUUCUCUUUCUUUCCCUUGCUUAUAAGCCACAAAUUUCGGUCCCCUUGGCUGUAAUAUAAGAAGAUAUUUUGCUCAAUUGUCAAUGAGCUUGUAGGGUAAGAAAGUAGUGGUCAAGUGGUGCGUUCAAACGGUAAUGCGCGAGACCCGCCGGUUCGCGCCGUUUUUCUUAAAACUCACGUACUAGGGUUUUUACUUCCCAUUCACUAACCUUACAUCAUUGCUACUACUCACAUAUUAUUUCUCACUUAAAAGUCACUUUUAAUCAUCAAAUUGAUCCUCGGCCAGUACCGAAAAUUCAUCUGGCGAAAAAUCGCGAAAACCCUAAUUUUGCUCAAAUCUUGAAACCAAAGUGUAAAACCCUAUUUCCAGGCUCAUCUGCACUUAUUGUUGAACAAUUGGGUAGUAGGGCCUUAAUAAAUAAUAAUUUCCAAAUAAAAGGAAAUUUUUAAGAAAACGUGAGGAAUUUACAAUUUCAAUAAUUAACAUUAGAAUCUCUAGUAAAAUAUGAAAGAUUUAAGAAACCGUUUAGUCACAAGUAAACUAGGGUUUUUGAUUAAAACAUUAGGGUUUCUAGUCGUUUAAAACAAAAUAAGGUUUUAAAUCAAACCCGAAGAAAUAUACUUUAAUAUUUUCUUCACAAACAACCUCCUAAUAUUCGGGAUGUUACAGUUUAUUUGUAUAUUAGGUUUAGUACAUGGGGCUUUUUUAUUUUUUAUCCUAGAAUUUAUUUGGGAGUUAUGGGAAUUAUAAUUGUGGGAGUUACAAUGCAUUUUGAAUUGAGUUAUUGUACAAUUAUUUGAAUAAGAGUUACAAAUGAAUUAUUUGGUGAAAUGAAGAAUUAUUGAGUCUUUAUAAGCCAUUCAAAUGUGAAUCAUAUUUUUAGGUUACAAAUUCUACCAAUUAACUACAAUUUAAUAUGAAAAAAAAUCGUUAUAUAUUGGAUUUUCAACCCUUUUUCUAAAGAUUUUUGUAGCCUAUAAAUAAUGAAAUUCUUUGGAGAAUUUCAUACACAUUUUUCUCAACAAAAUAUCAUUCUAAAUACUAUUCUCCUCAUACUCUUUUCUUUCUCCCUCAUUCUGUUUUCUUUGGGCAAAGAAAGAUAUUGGGAAGUUUUUGCUUCUCUUGGUUGUGCAUAUCAAAAGGAAGCAACAACUAUAGAGUUGGGUUAUUAUAUCCUGGAGGCAGCGUACUAGACCUUCUGCAUCGGUUAAAAAAAAUACCGUAUGUACACAUAUCGUCUUAAAAAGAACGUAUUGCGCAUCUCAACCCUACUGAACUUUUUAGUAGCUGUCAAAUUCAAGGUGGUUAGCAUGAAAAUCAAAUGUUGUUCAUGUACUCUCUUCCAACAAUUUUAAGACGAUACUCAAAUGGAGAGUAAUACUAACUCUACUAUCCUUACGUUUGUCGGAAGCUCUACAGAUCUCAACAAGCCUUUCAAGUUCAAUGGUGAACACCACUUCAAAAGAUAGGCUUAAAAAGUACUUUUCUACCUAAAACUCAUGAACGUAGCUUGGAUACUUAUGGCCAAAAUCCAACCAAAAUUCGUGUUGAUGACAUAUAUGAGCAAAAUAAGCAAGAGCAACAACAAAGUGUUCAAAAAUGAAGAAGUGAUGAUGAAGAUUGUAAAAAUUAUCUUCUUAAUUGCUUAUUCGAUGAGUUUUAUGACUACUACUCCACUUCUUAUUCCACAAUUAAAAAGAUUUUGAAGGCUUUGCAAAAGAAAUAUGAUACUGAAGAAGUUGGAGCCAACAAGUAUGCUUGCAGCUGCUACUUCAAUAUCAAAUGGCAGAAAACAAAUCUGUCCUUACUCAAAUACAUGAACUACAAUAUAUAGCUCAUAAAAUUCAAUCUGAAGGCAUCAAGAUGGAUGAACAAAUGCAAGUGGCUGCUAUAGUUGACAAAUUACCAAAUUCUUGGAACGAUAUUCAAAAGGAACUACGCCACAAGUAGUCGGAGAUCACUGUAGUCAAUCUCAUGGACUUAGAAUUGAAGAGGAGGCAAGGAAGCAAGAUCAGUCUGAGGAGACUAAUGACAAUGGUGAAACUAAUAAGGUACAUUUUAUUACUUCAACUGAUAAUGUCUCUAAAUGUCAGAAUUUUAAAAAUAAUGCAUACUUGAGACCUAGAGGAAAAAAUAUGAAAAAUCAGAAUAGACCACAAUAUUUAUAUAAAGGACCCAAAAAGAACCAAGAAACCCGUUCUAAUAAUAAUAAAGUUGUUAGGGGUCCAUGUUUUGUUUAUGGAAAACUUGGCCACCAACCCAAGGAUUGUUAUUUUAAAAAACGUGGACAACUUACAAAGUAUGGUGAUAAACUUCAAGCUCAUGUAGCUAAAGAACCUUUAGUGGCUAUGAUAACUGAGGUGAACAUACUAGAGAAUCAUGAAGAGUGGUGGGCAGAUUUGGGCGCUUCUAGGCACAUUUGCCAUGAUAAAGAUUGGUUCAAAAACUACACUCAUACUGAAAAAGGUAAAAUGGCUCACAUACCACUAAGGUGGUGGGUGUUGGUGAUGUGGAUCUAAAAUUCACCUCUGGUCAUACUUUAAUUUUGAAAGAUGUUCUUCAUACUUCUCAAAUCAGAAAGAAAUUGGUUUCAAGUUAUCUUCUCAACAAAUAUUAACUGGAUUGGAAAAUGACCUGUUUCAUCCUUUACAUUUCGUAAAAAUAUUUUUUUCGUCCCUCACUUUUAAAAUAAAACAAAUUCAUCCCUGACAUUUAAAAAUUAAAACUAUUACAUUUCUAAACCUAAUUUUCAAUCUGAAUCAAACCAUUCAAUAGCCCAGUAAUAAAUUUCGAAAAUAGAAUUGACAGAUCACUCGGUCAAUUUCAUCAUAUUCACAUGACAUUUAUUAAACCAAAAAAAUAAAAAUUAUAACAUAAAAGGCCAUUCUUUAUCUUGGAAUAGUGGGAUUUUUUUUUGGUAAAUCUUUUCAUACACCGUUAGUAUAUCCGCUUGCGAAUGUAGAUGUGUAUCAUAAAUAUAAAAUUUGGUGUUUAAAUUUAAAUUGAAAUGAUAUGACGGUACAUAAAACAGUCAGUGUAUACAAUGAUAAUGUAGGAAAGAUUAAUCUUUCUUUUUUAUGUUAUAAUUUUUUCUUUUUUCUUUUUUGGUUCAUUAAAUUUUAUAUGAAUAUCAAGUUGAAUUAACCAAAUGAUCUACCAAUUACACUCCCAAAAUUUGUAAUCAGGUUGAUUGGUGGUUUGAUUCAGAUUGAAAUUUGGGUUCAGGGAUGUAAGAACUUCAGUUUUUAAAUGUCAAGGAUGAAAUUGGUUCGUUUUAAAAGUGAGGGACGAAAAAAAUAUUUUUGUGAAAUGUAAAAGAUAAAACCGAUCAUUUUCCCUAACUGGAUAGUUGUUAGAAACAUUCAUUUCCACCCCUACUACUCGUUGAAAAAAGGGCAAAUUACAUUUUAUCUCCCUAUAGUUUAGUGUUUUUGUACAUAACCCUUUUAUGAUUUCAAAAGUUAUACAUAAUCCCCUUAUGGUUUGAAUUAAAGUGUCAAAGUAAUGGAAAUGAUCAUUUAUAAUAGAACCUUUUAAAAUCUCAAAACUACCAUUGUUUAAAAAUUAAAAUCGCUGAAUUAACCAAAAUAUGUAAACAUAAUAUACGUGAUGCACUAACCCGUAUAAUUUUAUGUUUACCAUAUAACCCCCGUAUAAUUUUUAAAAUAUACACAUAACCCUCCAGUGGUUAAUAAAUAAUUUUCAACUUUACAUAAGGGUAUUUUUGACAUUUUAGGUAACUCUAUUAUGGAUUACAAAUUCCGUUACUUUGACACUUUAAUCCAAAUCAUGAAGGGGUUAUGUAUUGUUUUUUAAAUCAUAGGGAUUAUGCACAAAAACACUAAACCACAGAGGGUUAAAGUGUAAUUUGCCCUUAAAAAAUCUUUGUAAAUUUAUAAAGAACUAUUCUAACGAUACUAAUUGGGGAUCGUUGGCAUAUCUAAUGAUAUGCACAAAAUCAUUUUUAUUUACCCACUUUUCUAAAUUAUCUUCACUCUUUAUUAAAGGAUUUUUCUAAUCGAGUCCUAGAGUCCUAUAGGCAUACGUUAACACACCUAAAUUACAUUUAACUUACCAUUCAACAUUUAUUAGAAAAAAAAUUGUCAGCACUUAAAGCAUUAACCAGACAUUAGUUAGAAAAAUUCAUUUUCACCCUAGUACCCAUAAGAAGAAAAUCCUUAAAACUUUAUAGAUGGUUUUUCUAACGGGUACUAAUUAGAGGAUCAUUAGUACAUCUAAUCAUGCCUAAAUUAGUCCACAAAAUCAUUCUGAUUAAGAUACUUUCCCAAAUUAACUUCACUCUUCUUUUUUUUUUUUGAAAUAGAUUUUCCUACUAGUUGCCAAAUAGUGAAAUUUAUCAUGUGAAUGAAUACACACAAUCACAAUUAUUAUAUUUUAAUAAAUUCAUACGUGAGACCCCUCUUAACGGGUUAGACAUUUAUUAAAAAAAUUCAUUUUCAUCCUAAGUCCCUAAUACUCAUAAAAAGAAAAUCUUUAAAACUUUUCUAAUGUGUACCAAUUGGAGGAUCAUUAGUACAUCUAAACGAUACCAAUUGAAGCAUCAUUAAUACAUUUAAUCAUACCUAAAUUAGUCCACAAAAUCAUUCCGAUUAAAAUACAUUCCCAAAUUAAUUUCACUCUUUUUUUCUAAAAUAAAAUUUUCUAAUAAUUAUCGAAAUGAGUGAAUACUUACUGUGUAAAUACACACAAUCACAAUUCUUGCAUUCCUAUAAACUCACGCGGUGUCACAAUUCUUACGUUCCAAUAAAGAAUAAACUAACACGUGAGACCGCUCUUAACGCAUGCCCCUAUACCAAAAAAAAAGGGAAAACUGGGGCCUUCAUCCUUCAUUUCUUGACAAAAUCCUUUCUGUCCUUAUCUCCCACACUUCCGGACUACGUUGCCAUAAGCGGCCGGUAGCCAGUUCCCAGUUCACCAAAACUUCUCUCACUCACUGGUAAGAUAUGAAGCACAAUAUUCAUGUAUCUGCAUACUGUUAUUUAUGCUUCUUGAAUUGUUAUUCGGGUUAUUCAUGAAAUUCCGAGACUUCACUGAUUUUUUUUCGCCGUUUCAGUUGGUUCUUUUUUGGUCUUUAAACUUUUAUUUGUUAUCUUUUUUCUUUUUGGCUUUUGGUUUUUUGGUGUUGGGAACUGAUUGUUAUAGGGUGAGAGAGAGAGAAGGUGUGGAUUGGCAAUGGGUCCUUUGACGUUAGCUUUGGAUGCCAAGAACUGCUCCCCCUCCUCAGGUAAAUUAAUUUUUCAAUUCUGCAUUUCAAUUUUAAUGCCCAAUUAUAUGUAUAUGUGCAGAUGAAAUUAUGAUUAUCAGUUUUAUAUUGUGUUACAAUUCUUUGUAGCCUGUCAAUUUUCAAAUAGUUUGUUUAGCUGAACUACCAUAUAGGUUACUCUGUCUGUGUGUGUGUGUUUUUUUUCCUUUUUGGGUUUACUACUAAAAUUGUAAACUUUAAUGCCCUUGCAACUCAUUAUGUGGGCUUUUUACGGGAAGGAAAAUGGUAAUUAUGUUUUUUUUAAUCCCUGUUAUCAUUUGUUAAAUGUGUUGGUGAAUUAUCCUGUUGCACUGUUGUUGUAUUUGUAUGGUUGUUGCAAUUUAGAUGCAAUGACACGAAAAAGGUACUUGCUUGAUAUAGUAGGUCUUGAAUAAUCAACAUAAUGAGAAUUGGAAGGUAGAAAUUUGUGCAUAACAAAGAGAAAAGUAUAAAUAAAAACCAUUGUGGAUUAGUAUUAUAGUUUUCUAGAAUAACCUGUGCUAGCUGGAAGAUAGGUACCUUUGUAAGAUAUACAUCUAGAAGAGCAUAUUAAUGACAAUUAAUUUCUUGAAAGUGUAGAGUUUAUGCCAAUAGUGAUGUAGCGUCAUUUCCAUCAGUAAUUAGGGGGCACCAAAUGUAUAGAAUUUCAUAGCUUAAGUUUGUCUGGAAUACCAUUUAGAACAGUUUAAGAAAAGGUACUAAACUGGGAGUGGUGAUAAAAUGUAAGCCUUGAACAGGGGUAGAUAUGAGCAGUAGAAAGUAGUCACUUUUUACUGUAUUGCACAAGGUGUUGGUUGUUAUUAGCAAUUGCAUAGUUUCAUUUUAAGCUAGACUAGGCAAUUGGUAAUGUUCCAAACAAAUGUCAGAAUUUACUUUAGUUAAUUAUGUAGUAAUGCUCUAGGUUCUGGGAUGAUAUGAGGAAAACCAUUUUACUCAGGAAAGUUCCCAUGUUUCAUAUGCCGAUUUUAUUGAUUUAUUUCCUUCUAUUUUGUCAAUCUUGUUUGAGCAGGCAAUCUGGUUUUGCAGAUAGAUCCAAUGGGAAAAUUCAAAAUGUCCAGUUCAAUCCAAAGAGGUUUUUUGCAUCAAUAAGCACACAAGAACAGAAGCCAUUUGAUUUCUUUCGUACUUUAGUUGGUAAGCCCAAACUCAAGUAUUCAUAUUUUGGUCAUGACUUUAUUGAAAUGCGCAUUAUUGCUGUUCUGUAGGUGGGAUCAAGAAACUUCUCGAAUGGCCCCAAUUUAUUGAGAAGAAAGUUAGAUAAAAUGCUAUUUAGUUGUUAAUAGAGCAGGAUUGGCCAACUUGGGCGAAUCAAUAGGUGUCAUGUUAUUACUGCAGAUGAAUCCUUUGAAUUUUGUGUCUUUGGAUAAAAGCUUUCUAGGAAUGAAAAUGUGGCAUCCAAAUCAUUAUUAAUAUCCCUGCACUCCACCCCAAAUGAGUGUCUUAACAUAUCACUUAACUGGACUCUAUGUACGAUGGGUGAGAAACAGCAUUUUAUUUUUCCAUUUAUAUUUUCUUGAAAUAAGGGUGAUAAAAAAGAUUGAUAAUGAUGUGUUCUGGGAAUUCAACUCACAGAUUUUUCUCACAAUAUAUUAUUAGCCAAUAUCCCCUUUCCUUUUGUAUGGAGCUUUAAAGUUUAACGCAAUGCAUCUGUGAAAAUUGUUGCCUUUUGCAAUACUUUUUAGGAGCUAAUCACAACCAAUUUUUUUUAUAAAAAUUGGCUACUUCUUUAUCUUUUUCCUGUUCAUAUAAACUUUCUCCUUUGAUGCAUUUAAGCUGAAUUUUUUAAACUACUGCACUUCUGAUACCACAGAAAUUUGUGCAGAUGGUGUUAUAGCAGGAGGCACAGCAGGCGUUGUUGUUGAGACUGCGUUGUACCCUAUUGAUACUAUAAAGACUCGGUUGCAGGCAGGUGAACUAUUUGAAGCACUUAAGCGGAUCCAAAUUAAGAUGGAAAACAAAUGAUCAUAGUUUCUCAUAGUGUCAUAAGCAGAUGCCUUGCACUCUUAGCUUAGAUGUACAUUAUGUUUUCUGACUUGCAGUUCUUGCUGCAGUACUAAUCUAAGAUUUAGAUGUUUGUGAAGAGAUUUGAUGACAGUUAUUUUCUUUGGAAGGAACAAAUUGAAAAUUGUGAUAUCUUAGCUUAAGAAUUUGUUUGGUUGGGGGUGAAGGAGUAAUAUAUGGUAAAAUGCAUUUAUAUUUGACCGCUUCUAAAACAUUGAUUAGACUGCUUAGCUGAUGAAAAUUAACUAGGGAAACAUCUUGUUUCUUGGUCUAUUGUGAUAUAUGCUGCAAACUUUUGGGCUGAUUUGUUCAUUGUACUAAUGAGAGAUGUUUGGUUUCUUUUUCUCUCCCUCUUUUUUCUGUAUUAUCCAAUCUGUAGUAGCAGAAGAAAGUUCCUCAGUUAUAAAUUUUGUGUGUUACAUAUUGAAACAGGUAAAAGUCCAUGUUAAUGUGUAACAGAAACAGAAAAUACUUGUUCGUUAAUACUUUAUGUUGCGUAGGCCCUAUUGUGAGGAAAAAAGAAAGUGAGAUUUUCGAAUAUGAUUUCUUCCAUUAGGAUUCAAAUUCUUGGGACAAAGUGCUCCCUAUGUUUACUGUCAAUAUCAUGUUAUGAUUUCUGUUAAUAAUGAUACGUGUAGGCUGCUCAAGGAGGAGGAAAAAUAAAUCUUAGAGGCCUGUAUUCUGGAUUGACUGGUAACCUUGCUGGAGUCCUGCCGUAAGUUCUUAUAAAAUUCCAUGACUUGAUAAUUUUUGUAUUAUAUGGUAUUGCACUUGCUAAUCAAAUAGCUAAUAACAUUUUGUAUGUUGAACGGAUGAAAUCUUGGCCAGUGGCCCCAUCCUUAAUUUUUACGGAUGAACUUUUGCUUUUGCAAUUUUUUGUUUGUUCAGAUUUGAUUUUAACAAUUAAUGGAUCUAUGGAUGCCACCGCUACUUUACACACUUGUUGUAUCUACAGGGCAUCUGCUGUUUUUGUUGGUGUAUAUGAACCCACAAAGCAAAAAUUGCUGAAGCUUUUCCCUGAAAAGUUCAGUGCAGUUGCUCAUCUGGUAAGGCUUAUAUCUUGUGGCACUUUUUAUUGAUCUUGAAACAGCUCUGGUCAUUAAUAUAACCUUUAAAUGCAGAUGUUUAACCUACAAAGAAAGGACUUGAAUUGAUAAAUUUCAUGUAAAAUAUAGGCUGUAAAGGGUUGUGUAACAAAUUUCGAUUCCUGAGAAAAUUUAGUAAGUGUUAUUUCAAAUGGUGCCAUAAUACCUGAUAAAUGUGCCAGAUAACUUCAGUCGGAUAUUUUGUAAUUUUAGCAAUUCUGAUCUGUAGGUGCACCACUGUACUUCAGAACAAAGGCCUUAUCUUUUUACAUAGAUUUCUUCUGGUAGCCUAAUUAAGCUCAUUGUGUUCUUCUGCAAUCUUUUUAUCCUAGUUCAUAGUAGAAAGAUUCUUACUUUUGGUUCAAGGCGUUUCUACUACUUGUCUGGAGAACCCAAAAGUUGGAGUGUCCCUUGGCCCAAACUUUGUUUGUCGCUUUAUCACUUGACCUAUGAAACUUUUUGAGUUCAUUUUGUUUGGCAUGGUGGUUGUGGCAUUGGACCUAAUUGGCAUCUACAAAUGUCAGAAUGACUUAUACCUUUGACCUACAUUACUCAACAACAAUAUUCCCAUUAACGUGUUUUUUCUUUUGAAAUUCCUGAUAACUGUUGAUUGAGACCAAAACUUGCUUUGUGAAAUGAAGUGGAUUGUGUCACCUGAAUUUUGGAUAUUAGCUGAGUCCCUAUAAGUUUGAUAACUGUUUGGAUGACAUUUUAUGCUCGAGGUGAUUGUGUUGUAGCCUUUUCCCCGGUUUGUUUAUGAGGUGCUAAAUGUGUAGACAGCUGGGGCCAUUGGAGGUAUUGCAGCUUCUCUUAUUCGUGUUCCAACAGAGGUACAUGAGUUUAUAUUCGUUUUCUUGCUGUUCGUGCAUAGCCUUAAAUUUUCAUUUUCAUUUUGCGUUGGUAAAUUUUCUUUGUAUCUUGAAAGUGUAGGUUGUCAAGCAACGAAUGCAGACUAGACAAUUUGCUUCUCCACCUGAUGCUGUUCGUUUAAUCAUUUCCAAGGAAGGUUUUAGAGGUCUUUAUGCGGUAAUAUACCUGCUCUAUCCAAUACUUCAGAGGAAAAUCAAUUUUCCUUACAACCAUAUAGUGUUGAGAUGUUCAUUCCAUCCCUUUUCCAAUGAUUAAUGAUGUUUUUAUAUAUCUAGAGGAUUGCUAAGCUGUGAUUAGGUACUCUAUGCAGAUAUACGUUGUGUAUAAUUCUCAGAAGCUUUAAUCUUUGACAAUAGUAGUGUUUUAGGACGGGUUUUUCUUCUUACUCUUCUGCAUGGGUUUUUAACUUUUAUAUCCUGAACUUGUAGGGAUAUAAAUCAUUUUUACUGAGAGAUUUGCCAUUUGAUGCAAUCCAGUUCUGCAUCUAUGAACAGCUUCGAAUAGGCUACAAGAUGGCAGUAAGUUACUUUAUACAGAAAGAGACUUGAUGAAUUGUUUUGCUUAUCGGAUGAGGAUGAAUUCACCUCUAUAGUGCUUCCCGCACAAAAAUAUAUUAGCUGAUUUUUCCUGCUUGUUCUUGUUUAUCUCUUAAUCUAAUGUGCAAUUGAUAAACUAUGUCAUGCUAUGUUGUUAAGCUGUUUCUCUUUUUCCAUGUUUAAUCAUAUAUAGUGCACCUUAUGAGUUUGCUUUGUGGUUUAACUAAAUGAUAACUAAACAAAUUUCUUGAUACCAAGACGCUCAUAAUUUGGUCUGAGUUGUGUUUUUAAACAAUACUGCUUCUGUAAACACCUUUUCUGUGGUGUGCUUUUGACCAGGCAAAGAGGGAUUUGAAUGAUCCUGAGAAUGCUGCAAUUGGUGCUUUUGCUGGUAAUUUCAUUUCCUAAUAGCCUGCUUCUGGAUCUCUUGUAUUUAGAUGCGUCUUGGUGUGCACUUUGCAGAAUACGAACUCAAUUUGUUACCCAAGAAAUAGUUUUUCUCCUGCUGGAGAAUUUGAAAUUAGUAGAAGAUUGUACCGGUAUAGUCAUUUUUGUGAUUAAUGCACAAAAUGUAAAGACUGUUCUUGGAUUUCUGGUUGCCUAGAAUUAUUUGCUUAGUGCUCGACAUUACAUUCUGCAAUGAAGAUUACCACCUAAUUAUGUACACUAAUAUAUAUAUAUAUAUAUAUAUAUAUAUAUGUAGGCGCCCUAACUGGAGCUAUAACUACACCAUUGGACGUGAUCAAGACAAGGUUAAUGGUCCAGGUUCGUUUAUAAGUGUAUGUUUUGUUAUUUUCUCUCUUGCUCAACCGUUCUCUUCUUCAUGAACAUCGAGGGAAUGUUCAGUCGGGUUACCUGCAUAAUGAAUUUGUUCCGUUUGCUGGUAUGAUAUGUUAAUCUGCAUGCUCUACAGGGAUCAACGAACCAGUAUCGAGGCGUAUUUGAUUGCGUGCAGGCUAUAGUAAGGGAAGAAGGGCCUCCUGCUCUUUUAAAGGUACGAGUGUUUGUGCCAGUGGAUAGAAGUGUAGUUCUUGUUGUUAAAUGGGAAGCCUGGCAUAUGAAAUAUGGUAAUUAAUUGUUGCUCUUAACUUUAAAUCCUUGCAGGGCUUCGGGCCAAGAGUGUUGUGGAUAGGCAUUGGUGGUUCAAUAUUCUUUGGUGUUCUUGAGAGCGCGAAGCGUUUUCUAUCCCAGAGGCAUAACACUAGUGAUAAAUCUCUGGACAAAAAGCAGGAGUGAAAGGUUAAUUUUUGUUGCAAUGCGUUAGGGUCCCCUGCUUGUUUUUGGAUCGAAAGUUCAUAAACAGAGAAAUAUAACCGAAGUUCUUAACAAGAAAUUUUAUUUGAACUUUACGCCAAUCGAUUUUGUCCUAAUUCUCUUGCUGUUCUUUUUAAUUUUUUGAAUGUGGUAAUUCUUUGUUCAUAUUGAAUCUAAGAAACAAAUAAUUUCUUUAUCUCAUUUAAAGGAAAAAUCCUUUUAUGGCAGCAAAAUUCAUGUGAAACUAACAUGAACUGUUGUGGUGGAAUGCGUUGCUGUAUCCAGAUUUCCAUAGCGCAGAACCUGGUACCAUUAUAGUCCAGGUUAGACGUUAAUUACCUCAUCAAACUACUCUCAAAAUCCAUAUUGCUAUUCUUCUAACUGAUAAUGGAGCAAAUUGUACACUUCAAUCUCAAUUUGUUUCAAUCAAACAAAAAUAUGGCCUCUUAACUGAUAAUUAUGCCUCGAGUACCUCAAGAAAAACCAGCCAAUUCAGAUAAAUUUCACUUCAAAUAUCUAUGUACAUAUUGUACAGUUCUCAUCAUGUACAUUUCUUACAGGCCAAAAUUUCACUCGUACACUCAAAUCAGCUCGCCCCAGUAUGAAAAAGUUGGGGGAAAAGUUUUUUUUUUUUUUUUAAAUGAUGCCGAAACUGCAUUAUAUUCACAAGAUUUCUGUAAAAAAAACAACCUGCCU
This 28921-nucleotide long non-coding RNA is filed under the name Coffea arabica (coffee). RNAcentral describes it as "long non-coding RNA (CARA_LNC005273)". Lineage: Eukaryota; Viridiplantae; Streptophyta; Magnoliopsida; Gentianales; Rubiaceae. The record is from RNAcentral.